UGGGGAAUAUUGCACAAUGGGCGCAAGCCUGAUGCAGCCAUGCCGCGUGUAUGAAGAAGGCCUUCGGGUUGUAAAGUACUUUCAGCGGGGAGGAAGGUGUUGAGGUUAAUAACCUCAGCAAUUGACGUUACCCGCAGAAGAAGCACCGGCUAACUCAGUGCCAGCAGCCGCGGUAAUACGGAGGGUGCAAGCGUUAAUCGGAAUUACUGGGCGUAAAGCGCACGCAGGCGGUCUGUCAAGUCGGAUGUGAAAUCCCCGGGCUCAACCUGGGAACUGCAUUCGAAACUGGCAGGCUAGAGUCUUGUAGAGGGGGGUAGAAUUCCAGGUGUAGCGGUGAAAUGCGUAGAGAUCUGGAGGAAUACCGGUGGCGAAGGCGGCCCCCUGGACAAAGACUGACGCUCAGGUGCGAAAGCGUGGGGAGCAAACA
This 427-nucleotide ribosomal RNA is filed under the name uncultured bacterium. RNAcentral describes it as "partial 16S ribosomal RNA". It matches the Rfam family "Bacterial small subunit ribosomal RNA", at positions 355 to 774 of the family's 1533-position model. The record is from RNAcentral.